AAAAAGUUCAAUACAAAUUAAAAUAAAUGGGUCAGGCCUAAAAGUGACCUGACCUGGAUCCAACGAACAUAUGCAACAAAAAAUAUCUGAUAACCAUGGUUUAGAAUUUAUUUUGGAAAGUGAAGCAGCCAUAGAUCGUCUUCUCCGCCAAGAUUGCUAAUGAGUUCACAUCGAUUUGCUUUAGUUUCUCUCUCACCCUAUGCGGAUCAUCAGCUAUCCUCCUCUCCCUUUGUUAAGCUAAGUUUCUAAACUUGUAAUUACCUUCUUCCCUUUUCUAGUUUAAUGAGUUGAGUUUCUUAAGAAACUAAUACCAUCAUUUGUACUAAAAAUUGAGUCCAGUAACUAAAGUUUGACAACAUUGAUUUCGUAAAAGGUGUGUCUAAUCCACUCUUUGGUAUUUUGCAUAUCUGCCAUGGCUAAUGUUUGAGCAUUCUCUCCUUCCUCACAUAUUCCUCUCUCUCUAUUAUGAUACUACAUAUUAUUUUAGCAAAAAAUUGAUGAAUAAGGUGAAAUCAUGAAGCUUAAAAUUGAACAUUUACUUGAAGAGUAUGUUCCUACUGCAUCAAUUGAACAACGAUAUGUCAAGUUUUGCGUCUAAUUUCAUCUUCUUUCCCUGUUUCCUUUAUUUUUUUAGUCUUUAAAUCGUUUGAAUGUUUGAUUUUUUCAAUUACAUUUUGUUUGUUUUGAUUCUCUUAAAACCACUGUUGCAUUAUAUGUUCCUACUUUUGAUUUUUGUUCCUCUUUUUGCUUUGCAUGUUCGAAGAUUUCAUUUUUUUAAAGCCAUUCUGAUUUAAUUUCUUGUCUGAGGUGUGAUUUUUUUGAGUUUUACAUAUAAUAUGUGUCCGGUAUGCUUAAUGUUGACAAUUUUGAAUAUCCUGAUGUUUGCAUAUCAACUGAGAUAGUUGAAUUUGAGGUAUGGAAUAAAAAUAAAAGCAGGUAAAUAGAAAUAUUGUGAUUUGGUUUGUCAUUUUUGAGUUACUAUUGUUAUUAUUUUCGAAAAAUUGAGGAAGAUCGUCAAAUCUAACAACAUUUUGAUCAAACAGUAUGUUUGUAUACUAAAUUUAGAAUCUAAUUAGUAGUACUUGAAUUCGUUGUUUAAAAUUUAGAACUCAUAAAUUUAAAAUCUCGAUUCCAUCCCAAACUCUGAACCCAUAUAAAUUGGCAUAACUAGUACCAAUGGAAGUCUGUUGUUCAUAGCUCUUCACUACUUUAGUGUUUGAUGUUUCAUUUGUAAUAUAGUGUGUGUUGUGUAUAGUUAGAUGGAUACAGAUAGGACAAUGUUCAAUUAGACAGAUGCCAAACAAAUUUUGUUCUUGAAUAACAAUAGAUAUUUGGAAUUUUUUUGAGGUAUGUAUUCAGUGGAUAUGAAUUAGACCAUGUGGGUGGAGCCCUCAAUUAUUGUUGUUGAUAGAUAUGGAGAUUGGCGUUGUUACCUUGAAUUGACUUUAAUUAUUAUUUAUGAAAGUAGUUAAGACGAUGUUAUAUAAUAUUUUAUCCUGUUAGGUUUAAGGGAAAUGUUAUAUGAUGUUAGAGGACCCUUUUCUAGUAUCAAUGUUUAUUAGCCAGGAGAAAGUUUUAUUUGUUUUCUCAUUUCAUGUUAGCUCUUUUUAUGGGUUGUCUCUGUAGUGUUAUUGCUCUUUAAAAGAUUUCUUAUUUGUAUAGUCUUACAUGAUGAUAAGAAAAACAAUAAAAAGUCACAAGCUAGGAGACAUCAACCAAACAUACAUCUUUCACUUAUUUGUAUAGCAUGACACGUUGAUAAUAAAAACAAUAAAAAAUCAUAAGCUGGGAAACGUUUGCCGAACAUACAACUUUUUGCUUAUUUUUAUAGCAUGAAAUGUUGAUAAGAAAAACAAUAAAAAGUUACAAGCUAGGAGACAUCUGCCAAACAUGCAGCUUUCAAUGUUGAUAAGUUUCUCUAUUAUUUAAUCUCUCGAACUUUGCAAGUGCAUCCUCUGUGGGGCUUAUAACAUCUUUGUGGGGAUCAAAUUUAGGAUUGGUUUGUCAUAUGAUGGAAUAAGUUGAUAUUUUUGAUAUCAGAUGUCGAUUUAUGCAGUCAGUAGCAUUUUCUACUAUUUUUUAUUCAUACUGUGUUUUGUACUUAAUGAUAGCUAAUUCAAUUGAUUGUCAUUCACUAUGUAGGAACGAAAAACUAUGAUUCCAUCAAAAGUCCUGGAUUUUAUAAGCACUUUGCGAUCAACAUUUUUGUUUUUGGAGGCUCUUUAUAUCCCUACAAUUGCUGCCAUUGAGGGUAUAACAUUGGGUGGGGGACUUGAAAUGGCAAUGUUUUGUGAUAUCUGGAUAUGUGUUUGAUGAUGCAUUACUUAGGUGAAGAUGCAGUGUUGGGUUUACCUGAAAUAGGACUUGCUAUAAUACUAGGGUAUGCCUCAAUUACACAUUAUAUGUUUACUUAUACAAAAUCUAUAAAUUUGGUGAAGGAUGUGUUAUGUUUUAGUUUUAUCAGAUCAGCUGGAUAUUUCCACUAACAGCCUCUUACAGAAAUACAGGGUAAGGUUUCAUAUAAAUAAAACCUUGAGGUUUGUCCCUUCCCUGGAUCCCGCUUCCUUUUAGCUGAUAUUCCAUUAUCUUGAAGUCACUUCAGCACUUUUACCAUUCAUAAGUUUGAAACUUUGGAAGUUUCUUUAAAUAUUCUGUAUACUAAGAUGUUUUAUUAAAGCUAGCUUCUUAUUCAAUACCUAUAUUUUAUAGAGCAGGAGGUACAAAACUGCUUCCUAGAUUGGUUGGGAAAUAAAUUGCAAAAGAUUUAAUAUUUACUGGCCGAAAGAUAAGUGGGAAAGAUGUUGGAUCAAUAGGUAUAAGCAUGACUUGUCAGAGCUCACUUGUCAAGUGGACGGGGCUCCUUGUUUUUCCCAAGCCCCUUCUCCUUCUCCUCCGUGUCUCUCUUUGUCUCUCUCUCGUGGUACCCCCUCAACAAUUCCAUUUGGUCAUGCAAGGAGUGUCAAUUACUUCGUUCCUGCUGGUGAGGCUCGUCUAAAGGCGCUUGAACUUUCUAGGGAUAUUAAUCAGAAGAUCAGCUGCCUUCACCUGAGAUAGAUGCAUUCUCAAAAUAGGUAUAAGCAUUGCUGAUCAUGAGCAGUAGCAUUUUACCUAAUGGGGUGGCUAAACAAAAUUUUCAAAGGUUCUAAUCAUAAAGUUUUGGAAUGCCAAUAUGACUGGAUAUGUGAAGGACAUACAGAGAGAGAUGAUCUAUCUACCACAGGGGAAGGUCGUGUCGAUAUCAAGUAGAUGCUAUUCUUCUUGUGCUGUUCAUGGCAAAGGGCAUUAGUGUUUGCUUUGUUAUAUAACUGAGAAACUACUGUUAAUGGAUUGUGAUCAUGGAAUGACACCUUAAUCUGGUUCAAGCUUUGCAAAACAAAUCGGUGGCCAGUGUAUCAAUUCUCGGCAAGUGAUGCAAAGAGAAUGAGACAUUUAAGUGAAGCAGACUAUGAUUAUGAAGAUGAUCCAGAUCUAAUUUAAGAUCUGGCAAGAAUCCAAAGGAAAGACUUAAGUUGCAUGGGUCUCGAAGACAGUAUUGGAACCAGUAUUUUGUUCGUCAUGCAUAAAAGUGUAGCUUAACUUCAUAACUAACAGUAAGAUUUACUGUAUCCCUCUCUUUGUAAUUGAUUCUAUGACCCUUACAUACACAUUUGAUUCUCAAACAUAAUCUCAUAUUAGUAAAUAUGUAAGAACAUACCUGUGGGGAGGCAGACCGUUUAGUGUUAGAGUAUUUAUGUAAUCUUCUUGAGAGUAGUUAUUUAUAUCAUCCUCUGCAGAGUUGAAACUAUCGUUCUGGUUUCACCAGGAAAUCUGGAAAUUAACAUUUCAUUUAGUUGGUUGACGUACUCAUUUCUGCUAGCCAAGAUAGCCCGUUCAGUCAUGUAUUUUGCAGAACUUGCAUUUUCAGUCAAUGAUGGAAAUAUUUGCUCUA
Molecule: long non-coding RNA, 3928 nt
Organism: Capsicum annuum
Lineage: Eukaryota; Viridiplantae; Streptophyta; Magnoliopsida; Solanales; Solanaceae
Exons: 8
Source: RefSeq, a predicted model, not a curated record